GGAGCUCUUUCGCCGUCUUCCCGCCUCCGUCCGAUCGGCACCUGGAAGGAACCUUUCUCGACGAGGAACUGGCGGCAGGACCAAAUGAGUUGUAAUCCUCCUAUUCUGAGACUGGGAGUGCCCGAGGCAGGAUGCACAGGCCAUGAGCAAAGAAUGGAGACUUUGGAGCGGCCCAGCCAUUGAGCAGCAGGAAAGAUCUGUGCAGCAAUCAAGUCCCUCCCAGCCCUGACGUAGGUGUGUGUGCAAAAGCGUCCCUGCCUGUGCAUGUGGCUGCCAGGGGAAUGUCAAGAACCUCCAGCGCCAUCCCUCGCUGGCUCCCUGCAUGCAUCCUCAUCUCAGAGUGGAGCCCAGGGCUGCAAACAACAGGAGAUAAAAGAAUAAAAGCAUCUUUAAAACAACAGAAACAAAAUUAAAGACAAAGUUUUGAGACUGGUCAGUGGAGAAUGCAGGCAUCAUCAACAGAGAUGGAUAAAAGGUUGUGGGGUGAGAGGAAAUGGGAGCAGCCGAGUCCUGCACAUAGCAACAAAUCUGGGUGCCUUUGCUCCUCUGGGCGCAUCAGACAGCGGAAUGUGUAGACUUUGGGGUGUUUUGCAGCUGGCCAGGGCAGUCAGCUGCCCCAUGGAUUACCUCUCUUUUGCCAAAGUCACACAUGUUUGGAAGCUACAACGCAUCAUGCUUUCCGAACUUGGGUCACUGUGGCGUGAGAGAUGUGCCGUUUUCAUGCACGGGGGAUGCACACGUUGUCUCCUUAUGAUGAAGAUGGAUUGAGGAUUAACUCUGUAAAUGUAAAUUUAAACCUCCUGUUGCACUCCCCUGAGAGUAAACAGGCUGUGAAUCCCUUUUAGCAAAAUAAAAACACUUAUGUGCUUUUGCAGCUUGCUAGAAGCUAGGAAUUAGGAAAUUG
Long non-coding RNA from Podarcis raffonei (Aeolian wall lizard), 904 nucleotides. RefSeq lists it as uncharacterized. The record is from RefSeq and is a predicted model, not a curated record. The transcript has 3 exons. NCBI's taxonomy places the organism in Eukaryota, Metazoa, Chordata, Lepidosauria, Squamata, Lacertidae.